Molecule: non-coding RNA, 275 nt
Organism: Paramuricea clavata
Lineage: Eukaryota; Metazoa; Cnidaria; Anthozoa; Malacalcyonacea; Plexauridae
Source: the annotation of a GenBank genome assembly
AGGGCCGUAUUUUGCUUCCUUCGCAAUAAAGAAUUUUCGCACACAAGCAAUCUUCAUUCAGAGAAGUUUCCAGCCAUCGGGACAAUUCCUUCGACUAGAACCAGGCAAAGUUAUGUCGCGCAAUUUGGAAGUAAGAAGAGCUGAUGCCUUAAUAUUUAUGGCUUACGACGCAGUAUCAUUACAACGUGUCACACUGAAUGGUAAAAAUGAGAUUAGGCUCAUUCCUACGACUCAACGAAAAACAGCAACUGUGUUAUCCGUGCCUUAUAAUGGUU